UUAGGGGUAAACGGGAGAAAUCCGAAAAUUUGAAGGAAGUGAUUCACGUAAAAUCUAUACAUGUAUUAUAUAUUUUGAUCGAUGAUAUUUAAACUCCUUGUAUUCAAUUUUAUUGGGUGCUAAGGGUUCCGUUUAAUUUCACGAUUCAUGUAUAUAAAUGCUGUAUGGUUUACCGCAUUUCAACCUUCCUGAUUUAAAUAAACGUCGCGACCCAUUGGAUUGCAGUCUACGAAUUUAUAGGUAGUCCCAUGAAAAGUAUAAUAAUUUAUUUAUUGUAUCUGUUUUGUGUGGGCCUAUAAACCUUCUGACUGAUUAUUCGAUGGUAGCAAAAAAAAUAAAAAGAUACGCCCGCGCAUUGUCGCGUUUUGAAUAGUAUUGUAAUUUUUUUAUAUUUCAGUGUGAGUCUUUUAUUACGGACCAAAUGGUCCGUUUAAGAGUAAGCACUGUGAACAAUUCUAUUCUCAAACAGUGGCGUUUUCUUUGUCCGCGGCGAAUAUGUUUCGGAAUUUCGCCCGACCC
This 519-nucleotide ribosomal RNA is filed under the name Proreus simulans. RNAcentral describes it as "partial 28S ribosomal RNA". Lineage: Eukaryota; Metazoa; Arthropoda; Insecta; Dermaptera; Chelisochidae. The record is from RNAcentral.